GUUUCCAUAGUGUAGUGGUUAUCACGUCACCUAACACGCGAAAGGUCCCCAGUUCGAAACUGGGUGGAAACA
Molecule: transfer RNA, 72 nt
Filed under: Alosa alosa (allis shad)
Lineage: Eukaryota; Metazoa; Chordata; Actinopteri; Clupeiformes; Clupeidae
Description: tRNA-Val
Rfam family: tRNA
About the family: Transfer RNA (tRNA) molecules are approximately 80 nucleotides in length.
Source: RNAcentral